CCUACGGGAGGCAGCAGUGAGGAAUAUUGGUCAAUGGACGAGAGUCUGAACCAGCCAAGUAGCGUGAAGGAUGACUGCCCUAUGGGUUGUAAACUUCUUUUAUAUGGGAAUAAAAUGUUCCACGUGUGGGAUUUUGUAUGUACCAUAUGAAUAAGGAUCGGCUAACUCCGUGCCAGCAGCCGCGGUAAUACGGAGGAUCCGAGCGUUAUCCGGAUUUAUUGGGUUUAAAGGGAGCGUAGGUGGAUUGUUAAGUCAGUUGUGAAAGUUUGCGGCUCAACCGUAAAAUUGCAGUUGAAACUGGCAGUCUUGAGUACAGUAGAGGUGGGCGGAAUUCGUGGUGUAGCGGUGAAAUGCUUAGAUAGCACGAAGAACUCCGAUUGCGAAGGCAGUUCACUGGACUGCAACUGACACUGAGGCUCGAAAGUGUGGGUAUCAAACAGGAUUAGAUACCCGUGUAGUA
This 460-nucleotide ribosomal RNA is filed under the name uncultured bacterium. RNAcentral's name for it is "partial 16S ribosomal RNA". It matches the Rfam family "Bacterial small subunit ribosomal RNA", at positions 338 to 795 of the family's 1533-position model. The record is from RNAcentral.